RNAcentral lists this ribosomal RNA (418 nucleotides) under Escherichia coli. RNAcentral describes it as "partial 23S ribosomal RNA". It matches the Rfam family "Bacterial large subunit ribosomal RNA", at positions 1326 to 1746 of the family's 2925-position model. The record is from RNAcentral. Lineage: Bacteria; Pseudomonadati; Pseudomonadota; Gammaproteobacteria; Enterobacterales; Enterobacteriaceae.
AAGCCCGCUCGCCGGAAGACCAAGGGUUCCUGUCCAACGUUAAUCGGGGCAGGGUGAGUCGACCCCUAAGGCGAGGCCGAAAGGCGUAGUCGAUGGGAAACAGGUUAAUAUUCCUGUACUUGGUGUUACUGCGAAGGGGGGACGGAGAAGGCUAUGUUGGCCGGGCGACGGUUGUCCCGGUUUAAGCGUGUAGGCUGGUUUUCCAGGCAAAUCCGGAAAAUCAAGGCUGAGGCGUGAUGACGAGGCACUACGGUGCUGAAGCAACAAAUGCCCUGCUUCCAGGAAAAGCCUCUAAGCAUCAGGUAACAUCAAAUCGUACCCCAAACCGACACAGGUGGUCAGGUAGAGAAUACCAAGGCGCUUGAGAGAACUCGGGUGAAGGAACUAGGCAAAAUGGUGCCGUAACUUCGGGAGAAGG